Molecule: ribosomal RNA, 459 nt
Filed under: uncultured bacterium
Lineage: Bacteria
Description: partial 16S ribosomal RNA
Rfam family: Bacterial small subunit ribosomal RNA
Source: RNAcentral
CCUACGGGCGGCAGCAGUGAGGAAUAUUGGUCAAUGGCCGCAGGGCUGAACCAGCCAAGUCGCGUGAGGGAUGACGGUCCUAUGGAUUGUAAACCUCUUUUGUCAGGGGGUAAAGUGCGCCACGUGUGGCGUUUUGCGAGUACCUGAAGAAUAAGCAUCGGCUAACUCCGUGCCAGCAGCCGCGGUAAUACGGAGGGUGCGAGCGUUAUCCGGAUUUAUUGGGUUUAAAGGGGGCGUAGGCGGAAUGUAAAGUCAGCGGUAAAAUUUCGGGGCUCAACCCGGUCGUGCCGUGGAAACUGGCGUGCUUGAGUGAGCGGGAAGUAUGCGGAAUGCGUGGUGUAGCGGUGAAAUGCAUAGAUAUCACGCAGAACUCCGAUUGCGAAGGCAGCAUACCGGAGCUCAACUGACGCUCAUGCACGAAGGCGUGGGUAUCGAACAGGAUUAGAUACCCGGGUAGUC